Molecule: small RNA, 787 nt
Filed under: Pongo abelii (Sumatran orangutan)
Lineage: Eukaryota; Metazoa; Chordata; Mammalia; Primates; Hominidae
Description: processed transcript
Source: RNAcentral
CCCAGAGCUCACCAGGGAAUGGUAUGGACCCCGGAGCCCUCUGCUCUGCCCAGAACGCCAAGAAGACAUCCUGGACUCUCUCUAUGCUCUCAAUGGGGUGACCUUCAAGUUGGACCUCCAGCAGCCAGACCUGGAUGGAGCCUGGCCCAUGUUCUCAGAAUCCCAGCCACAUAUGGAGGGCCCGAAAAUGUCCAGAUUGAGGACUCACACACCAGUCAAGCCGUCUGUCUGCAAGAUGCACCGAGUGGACAGCAGUUGGCAGGGCUUCCCAGGUCCCAGCAACAAAGGCAUCUUCCUUUCUUUUUGGAAAAGAAGGGGGAAAAUUCCAGGAGACAUAGGUACCCCCAGAGCAUGUGGGAGCCAGGAGGGGAGGAGCUUCAGCUAGACCAGGAGGAAGCAGCCCCAUGGAUUGAGAUCUUCCUGGGGAACUCAACAUCCAGCACCCAGGGACAGGGGAAGGGGGCUAUGGGCACUCAGAAGGAGGUGAUAGGGAUGGAGGCUGAGGGCACAGGGGUUCUUCUGGUUGCAAAGGGUCAGAGAACAACAGAGGGGACUCGUGAAAAGGAAGCAGAGUGGAGUCAUGUCCAGAGGCUGCUGAUGCCCAGCUCCAGAGGGACCAUAGCAGGAGCAGUAUCGGGGAGCAGGCAGAGGUCGGGGGGCUCUAGCAUCCUAGGGGAGCCCUGGGUCCUUCAGGGACUCGCAACAAAGGAAGACUCUACCGUGGAGAAUCCACAAGUGCAAACGGAAGUGACCCUUGUGGCCAGAAGGGAGGAGCAAGCCGAGGUGU